This 3039-nucleotide long non-coding RNA is filed under the name Strigops habroptila (Kakapo). RNAcentral describes it as "lncRNA (ENSSHBG00005002976.1)". Lineage: Eukaryota; Metazoa; Chordata; Aves; Psittaciformes; Psittacidae. The record is from RNAcentral.
UUUUUCCUCAUUACAACUUUUAUUUCAUAUAAAUAAUCCUUCUACAUCAGCUUUUCAACCUUUCAGUCUUACUGUAAAGAAGAAACAGCCACAGUUCUCUAAGAAAAUGCCAACCCAGGCACCAGCCAAAGUGCAUUGAGCAAAGUGGGAAUGAGCAGGAAAAAUCCACUUGGAACAGGCACUACCUGUGCAGUCCCAGCCCUGAAGCUUGGUACAGACUCACUCCUUCCUAGGCAUCAUUAUAUGCAAAGUUACUUGGAUUUGCAGGAGUAAAAGGAGGGAAAGGGGGAAAAGUGAUGGGUUUCCUUUCAGAAAGGAGCCUGAGGCAGUGAAUAGCAGCAGGGCUGGACCAGGGGCAGUGGCAGUGUCUCUACCUGACUGUGUAUCCAACUGCUGCCGAGGGGCAGCAAGCUCUUUAUCUCAGACUGUGUUUUGUGUGGACCAUGAGGCAAACCAGUUCUGGUGUGUGCUGGUAAUGACUUGCACUGGCUGGACCAGGUUGAGGUCAAGGGCCUGAUGUAAAAUAGAAUAAUAAAUUAAAAAAUAUAAGCAAUCUAAAGCAGGGAUUUGAGCCAGUCAGCUAAGGAAAAGCAGCCUUCACCAGUGAUGGAGGAUCUCCAGGACCUGGAGCAGUUCUGCAAUCUGUCUUCUAUCUGUCUGUUCUUUUAUCUGUUGGGUAAGUCCAAAUAAACCCAGUCUGGAUGAAGAUGUUUCUCCUGAUAACACAACAACUGCACACUCUGUUUCUUGAUAAUACCUGGUCUGAAGCCAGAAACCUCCCCUGAAUUUGGCACACAGAGGGAACUCCCAGGCUUGUCCUUUCUGAGAUAGGUGCUGUGGAUGUAAGGUACGUGGAAAACCAGAAUGUUUAUCUGUGCAAGUAUUAGUUUAUUAAACCAGCAUACAGUGUUUCAGCCCACACGUGCCAGCCUUACCCCGAGGUUAGCAGAUGCAUCCUGCAGUGAACCCCAAUAAAUCUCUGCAUGUGUUUGCUCCUGCAUCAAGCUUUAGAGCAGCGCUUCAACGUGAGGGUGAGAUCCUGUUGUCAUUUGGAAGUCAUAUAUUACAUUGUGUUAUUCCUUGUGCCUGCCUUCUGCCUUCUCCUUAAUCAAUAGCCUUAUUUCAGGUAGGUCCCAGUUUGCUGGGAAUCUCUCAGCAGCUUGCAAACCCAAGCAGCUGGGAGUCUUGCACAUUUAUGCUUGUCAGUGUUCAUCCAGAUCUUUCAUUUGAAAGGUGUCUUUUAAGGCCAGGUCAAAACCGAUGCCCUCUGACUCAAGCACAAGGCUAUGAAAGGCACAACCAGGAAGGUGAAAGCAUUUGAUUGGAAGCCUCAGACCUUCAGCUCCAACUUGGCCUGGGUCCUGCUGCCAACUCCUUUGUGCAGUGUGGGGAAGGAAGAUGAUUGUAUUUGUGCUGUCCUCCUCCCAGCCCUGCCUGGCACAGAGCUGCAAGUACCUCCAGGUACCGCAACCUGCCUGGUGUCAGGAAGCAGACACGGGGUUUUGCUGAGCUGCAUAUAAACCUGCUCCACUGAGCAGCAGCUUCCCUUAGCAAAAUCAGUCUCCUGAUGUGCUGUUUCAGCCUCACUGCCUGUGCCCUGCUACAUCUAACAGGAGGAGGAAAAUCAGCAGUUAAAGGCUGAUGCUGUGGUUGAUGUGUGCUUGUCAAAAGCACCCCACUCUGCAGAACGCUCCAUCCCCUUUGUGCCCCGCGACCCACGCAACUACCACACAUCUCUGCCAACACUUCAACCACAUACAAACCUCUAGUACAGGAGCUGCUCUGAACACUACUGUAUCACCCGCCUACUAACUACAACGUAACGCCCUUCACCCUGUCUCCUAAGGCUCUGCUUUGUCAGUCACCCACUCCCUGCCUGGCUGUCCUGGUACCCGCAGUGCCCUGCCAGCCUCGGGGGAGAAAGGGGUGGUGUGCCCAGAAACCUAAAUCUUAGCUCUAAACACAAUUAGUUAUUAAAUAAGAUAAAGUGCAUUCAGUAGACAUGUCAUUGGCUUGCCACACAGCUGCAAGAGAGGCAAAAUAAAUACAAAAGGUAAGUGAUGGUGUUUUCUUUGUUGCUUGGGAGUGUGUGUCCUUCCCUGCCCUUUGGCAUACGGAUGGGAAAGGGUGAUGCCAAAACUGGGAGCAGGGAGUGGUGAUGGGGACCCCGUGUGUUGUGAAUGGGUGCUGAGGGGCACAGGGCAGGUGCUGAAAGAUGAUUUCAUAGAAGGUAAAAGAAGGAGGACAAACUUGUGCUCCUCUUCUCUUCUCAUCCACCACCUUCAGCACGUUCUCCUGUGAAACAAGAGCAGAGACAGCAGUGGGAUUAUGAGUCUUUAGGGAACUGCUGAGCAGUAAAUUAAAGAUGUCUGAGUUUCAGCCUGACCUUCCUGCACUGCUGGGACUGCUCCAGAGGCACCACUGCACCAUAACCAUGUACCCACCUGACAAAUCCAACAGGAGCAAUGGGGUGCUCAGCAGCCCUGGGGUGAGCUAAUGUAUGAAUCUGGGUGAAACACUCUCAAUCCUCAUCUCUGUUAGAUGGGAAUACUUUACUCUCCUUUUGCCCCAGGAACAAUCCUUACAUGUUUUCCUGUGUGCUUGAACAUCACCUAGGGCAAGAAGACAAGGGGCUGAUUUGGGGCAGGGCUUUGUGGUCCUCUCCUGAGCCUGGGGUACAGCAUUUCUGUUCUCCAAGGGCAUGCGGGUGCAUCAGCUUUUCUCUGGUGAAUAAACCAACCCAUGAGCAGAGCUGCCCUGUAGCUACUUCCAGACCCAGAUGCGUUGAUUUUAGUUGGGAAAGGCAGACUUACUUGUUCCCUCUAGUUGCCAUAUGCCUGGGUGAUGCUCAGAACUGCUGAGCUGGCGUUUUCUGCAUCCCUGUUUAAACCCACAGAUCUGCCUUUUGCUGGUGCACAUUUCUGCACUCAAGCUCCCAAGAAAGGUCAAAAGGGGGAUAUAAAGAGGAAAACAUGAAACACCACAAAGGCAGAGAGGUGAUAGCAAGCUUCCCUCACAUAGAAAGGACACCUCUAAAGG